GUCUUUUUGAGUUAUAUUUAAAGUCUAACCUGCCCACUGAAAAUUUUUGAAUGGCCGCAGUAAUUUGACUGUGCAAAGGUAGCAUAAUCAUUAGUUUUUUAAUUAAAAGCUUGUAUGAAAGGUUGAACGAAGUAAAAUCUGUCUCUAUUUAAUUAAAUUUAGAAUUUAAUUUUUAAGUUAAAAAGCUUAAAUAUUUGUAAAAGACGAGAAGACCCUAUAGAGCUUUAUAAUUUAUUAAAUAUAAUUAUUUAAGAUUAUUUUAAGUUUUAUUAUAUAAAUUAUUUUAUUGGGGUAAUAUAAAGAUUUAAAUAAUUCUUUUUUUUUAUUAACACUAAUUUGUGAUAUAAUGAUCCAUUUUUAUUGAUUAAAAGAUUAAGUUACCUUAGGGAUAACAGCGUAAUUUUUUUAAAGAGUUCAUAUCGAUAAAAAAGUUUGCGACCUCGAUGUUGGAUUAAAGAUUAGUUUAGGUGUAGAAGUUUAAAUUUUUGGUCUGUUCGACCAUUAAAUCUUUACAUGAUCUGAGUUCAGACCGGUGUAAGCCAGGUCGGUUUCUAUCUUUAUUAAAUUUAAAUAUUUCAGUACGAAAGGACCAAAUAUUUAAUAUAUUUAUAUUUUAUUUUUUGAAUAUUAAU
This 632-nucleotide ribosomal RNA is filed under the name Metius blandus. RNAcentral's name for it is "partial 16S ribosomal RNA". The stretch from base 388 to 546 matches the Rfam family "Bacterial large subunit ribosomal RNA", at positions 2473 to 2632 of the family's 2925-position model. The record is from RNAcentral. Lineage: Eukaryota; Metazoa; Arthropoda; Insecta; Coleoptera; Carabidae.